GGGGGACGGAGAAGGCUAUGUUGGCCGGGCGACGGUUGUCCCGGUUUAAGCGUGUAGGCUGGUUUUCCAGGCAAAUCCGGAAAAUCAAGGCUGAGGCGUGAUGACGAGGCACUACGGUGCUGAAGCGACAAAUGCCCUGCUUCCAGGAAAAGCCUCUAAGCAUCAGGUAACAUCAAAUCGUACCCCAAACCGACACAGGUGGUCAGGUAGAGAAUACCAAGGCGCUUGAGAGAACUCGGGUGAAGGAACUAGGCAAAAUGGUGCCGUAACUUCGGGAGAAGGCACGCUGAUAUGUAGGUGAAGCGACUUGCUCGUGGAGCUGAAAUCAGUCGAAGAUACCAGCUGGCUGCAACUGUUUAUUAAAAACACAGCACUGUGCAAACACGAAAGUGGACGUAUACGGUGUGACGCCUGCCCGGUGCCGGAAGGUUAAUUGAUGGGGUUAGCGGUAACGCGAAGCUCUUGAUCGAAGCCCCGGUAAACGGCGGCCGUAACUAUAACGGUCCUAAGGUAGCGAAAUUCCUUGUCGGGUAAGUUCCGACCUGCACGAAUGGCGUAAUGAUGGCCAGGCUGUCUCCACCCGAGACUCAGUGAAAUUGAACUCGCUGUGAAGAUGCAGUGUACCCGCGGCAAGACGGAAAGACCCCGUGAACCUUUACUAUAGCUUGACACUGAACAUUGAGCCUUGAUGUGUAGGAUAGGUGGGAGGCUUUGAAGUGUGGACGCCAGUCUGCAUGGAGCCGACCUUGAAAUACCACCCUUUAAUGUUUGAUGUUCUAACGUGGGCCCCUUACCGGGGUUGCGGACAGUGUCUGGUGGGUAGUUUGACUGGGGCGGUCUCCUCCUAAAGAGUAACGGAGGAGCACGAAGGUUGGCUAAUCCUGGUCGGACAUCAGGAGGUUAGUGCAAUGGCAUAAGCCAGCUUGACUGCGAGCGUGACGGCGCGAGCAGGUGCGAAAGCAGGUCAUAGUGAUCCGGUGGUUCUGAAUGGAAGGGCCAUCGCUCAACGGAUAAAAGGUACUCCGGGGAUAACAGGCUGAUACCGCCCAAGAGUUCAUAUCGACGGCGGUGUUUGGCACCUCGAUGUCGGCUCAUCACAUCCUGGGGCUGAAGUAGGUCCCAAGGGUAUGGCUGUUCGCCAUUUAAAGUGGUACGCGAGCUGGGUUUAGAACGUCGUGAGACAGUUCGGUCCCUAUCUGCCGUGGGCGCUGGAGAACUGAGGGGGGCUGCUCCUAGUACGAGAGGACCGGAGUGGACGCAUCACUGGUGUUCGGGUUGUCAUGCCAAUGGCACUGCCCGGUAGCUAAAUGCGGAAGAGAUAAGUGCUGAAAGCAUCUAAGCACGAAACUUGCCCCGAGAUGAGUUCUCCCUGACUCCUUGAGAGUCCUGAAGGAACGUUGAAGACGACGACGUUGAUAGGCCGGGUGUGUAAGCGCAGCGAUGCGUUGAGCUAACCGGUACUAAUGAACCGUGAGGCUUAACCUUACAA
RNAcentral lists this ribosomal RNA (1489 nucleotides) under Escherichia coli. RNAcentral describes it as "partial 23S ribosomal RNA". It matches the Rfam family "Bacterial large subunit ribosomal RNA", at positions 1467 to 2925 of the family's 2925-position model. The record is from RNAcentral. Lineage: Bacteria; Pseudomonadati; Pseudomonadota; Gammaproteobacteria; Enterobacterales; Enterobacteriaceae.